UCAAGCAAGAAGAGGUUUGCGGCGGAUGCCUGGGAGCUGUCCGGCGAAGAAGGCCGCGGUAAGCUGCGAAAAGCUGCGGGGAGGAGCACACAUCCUUAGAUCCGCAGAUAGCCGAAUGGGGUAACCCGUAUGUCGCAAGGCAUACACCGCGCGCGGGAAGAAGAUACUGCGGCGGAGCGAUACUGCGUGAAGUGAACCAUCUAAGUAACGCGGGAAGAGAAAUCAAAAGAGAUUGCGCAAGUAGCGGCGAGCGAACGCGCAGGAGCCUAAACCCUUAUGUAGGGUGUUGCAGGGCCGCACGGGGAUGACCCGUGGAGUUGGUGAGAAAACCGAUAUUUAGCGGAAGCGUCUGGAAAGGCGCGCGAGACAGCGUGAAAGCCGCGUAUGCGAAAAGGAUCGGACUCCAUGGUGCGGUACCUAAGUAGAGCGGGGCACGAGAAACCCUGUUUGAAUCCGGGUCGACCACGAUCCAAGGCUAAAUACGAGACAGCUACCGACAGCGAAGAGUACCGUGAGGGAACGGCGAAAAGAACCCCUGUGAGGGGAGUGAAAGAGAACCUGAAACCGCAAACCGACAAGAUGUCACGGCGCGCGAGCGUUGUGGCGUGUCUUUUGUAGAAUAAACCUGCGAGUUGCGAUGCGCGGCGAGGCUAAGGGUUGGGAGAUCCGGAGCCGGAGCGAAAGCGAGUGUGAAAAGUGCGAGAAGUCGCGUGUCGCAGACCCGAAGCCAAGGUGAUCUAAUUAUGGGCAGGCUGAAGGCAGGGUGAAACCUGUUGGAGGGCCGAACAGUAAUCUGUUAAAAAAGGUAGUGAUGACCUGUGAUUAGGAGUGAAAGGCUAAACAAACCUGGAAAUAGCUGGCUCUCCCCGAAAUGCCUUUAGGGACAGCCUCAUGCAAAGCGGAAGGAGGUAAAGCACCGGAUGGGAUAGGGGGCGUCACAGUCUACCGACACCAAUCGAACUCAGAAUGCCAUCCGCCAACGCAUGGGAGUGAGACUGUGUGCUCCAAGGUUCAUAGUCGAGAGGGAAACAGCCCGGACCGACGGCAAAGGUCCCGAAAUAACGCUCAGUGUGAAAUGAGGUGCGUCUGCACAGACAGCCAGGAGGUUGGCUCAGAAGCAGCCAUUCCUUAAAAGAGUGCGUAACAGCUCACUGGUCGAGCAGGCGUGCGCAGACAAUGUAACGGGGCUAAGCGUUAUACCGAAGCCGCGGGCCCGCAUUGUAAGAUGUGGGCGGUAGGGGAGCAUUGCGCUAACCGAAGAAGGCGUACCUGUGAGGGGCGCUGGAGGAAGCGGAAGAGAGAAUGCAGGCACAAGUAACGAAAAGACGGGUGAGAUUCCCGUCCGCCGAAAGCCUGAGGAUUCCCGGGUAAAGGCAAUCUGCCCGGGGUAAGUCGGCCCCUAAGGCGAGGACGAAAGUCGUAGUCGAUGGGAAAUCGGUUCAAAAUCCGAUACCCGAUUCAGUUUUGAAGGCAGGACGCAUGAGGUGAAAUCCGGCAGAAGAACGGUAGUUUCUGUCCAAGCGGUAAGGUGUUGAGAGGGCGGUUAAAAGAGCCCUUGAGCUGAGCCGUUACGGGGAGCGGAGCGCAGGCGAAGCGAAGCGGAUGUAAUCAAGGUGCCGGGAAAUACUGUCUAAAGUUAGGCUGAGUCGGACCGUACCGGAAACGGACACACGCAGGCAGGAUGAGUAAUCUAAGGCGCACGAGCGACCCCGCGUUAAGGAACUCGGCAAAAAGCACACGUAACUUCGGAAGAAGUGUGGCUCACGCUGAUAAGGAUGUGAGCGGCAGAAAGCAGGCCCAGGCGACUGUUUACCAAAAACACAGCCAUCUGCGAACCAGUAAUGGGACGUAUAGGUGGUGACACCUGCCCGGUACCGGAAGGUUAAGGGGAGGGGUUAGCAGGAAUGCGAAGCUCCGAACCGAAGCCCCGGCAAACGGCGGCCGUAACUAUAACGGUCCUAAGGUAGCGAAAUUCCUUGUCGGGUA
Molecule: ribosomal RNA, 1986 nt
Filed under: human metagenome
Description: bacterial LSU rRNA
Rfam family: Bacterial large subunit ribosomal RNA
Source: RNAcentral